RNAcentral lists this ribosomal RNA (370 nucleotides) under uncultured bacterium. RNAcentral describes it as "bacterial SSU rRNA". It matches the Rfam family "Bacterial small subunit ribosomal RNA", at positions 527 to 896 of the family's 1533-position model. The record is from RNAcentral.
GUAGGGAGCGAGCGUUGUCCGGAAUUACUGGGUGUAAAGGGUGCGUAGGCGGCCUGGCAAGUUAGUGGUGAAAACUAUGGUCUUAACCCAUAGCCUGCCAUUAAAACUGCUGGGCUUGAGUGAAGUAGAGGUAGGUGGAAUUCCCGGUGUAGCGGUGAAAUGCGUAGAGAUCGGGAGGAACACCAGUGGCGAAGGCGGCCUACUGGGCUUUAACUGACGCUGAGGCACGAAAGCAUGGGUAGCAAACAGGAUUAGAUACCCUGGUAGUCCAUGCCGUAAACGAUGAUUACUAGGUGUGGGGGGUCUAACCCCCUCCGUGCCGGAGUUAACACAAUAAGUAAUCCACCUGGGGAGUACGACCGCAAGGUUG